CUUUAUUGAUACUAUGAGGAAAAGGAAGUCUAUGUUGCUUUGACUUGUGACAUAUGUCACAACAAUCUAAAUUAUUGAAAUUAAAACUACAAUUGAUAAAACUAGAAAGACGCUGCAGAGACUGUAGUGCCAAAGAGUGGUAUCAUCUUUCUUACUUGUUGUAAAAGCAGAUCCUUGCAUCAUCCCUUUGUACACAUAAACCCCAUUACGCAUGCUACCCGAUCCAAUCGUCCUCCUCGUGGCUAGGUCCUGUAUCACACAAGAAUCGGAUUGGUAAGUUAUCAUGCAAUUUAAAUCAUGUGUCAACUUAUGUAUAGAGAUUAAAUUGCAGCAAAAAUCGGGCACAAUCAACCCAUUAGAUAGCUUGAUAUUUCUAUCAAGUUUGAGAUUUCCAGCUCUUUCUACCAGCACAGUAUUUCCCGUGGGAACUGUGAUAUAGAAAGGUGUCUCAAGUGAUUGUAUUCCCUCUAAAAUUGAGGAAAAAGGAGUCAUGUGAUGAGAUGCGCAACUGUCCAAGAUCCAUUGGAUCUCUUUAUUACCAGCCAUGCUAGAGAGGGAUGAUCCCGCAUUCUUCAUUCUCAUUCCGUGCAGGGCGUGAGUUGUAUAUGCAGCAAAAUUCCCUCCUGAUCCUCAUCAACAUGAGUUGUAUAUGCAGCAAAAUUCCCUCCUGAUUUAUUGUUCCAACGGUUUGUUCUACGAGCAUCCCAGUUGGAAGGAUAUCCGAUUAUCUCAAAACACUUGGACUUAGGAUGUCCAACCUUUCCACAAUGAUCGCACUUGGGCUUGGGUCCAUCUCUAUUCUGCUUGUUUCCUGAAUAUGAGUGGAAGGCUGUACCUGGAUCCAUCUUAUUAUUCCCUUUCUCCUUCUCCACAGUGAAGCGUGCUUCUUCUCUCAAGACGUGAUUGAAAGCGCGUCUGAGUGAAGGUAAUGGUUCUACAUUCAGAAUGGAGGUUUUGACAUGUCCGUAUUUUUCAUUAUCCAGACUUCCAAGGAAAAGAUGGAGACAUUGUUCUUCUUCCCUUCGCAUCAAUUCCUUUGAUGCUCCACAAGUGCAUUCGGGCAGAGGUUGUAAUUCACUCAACUCAUCAAGCAAACUCUUGAACUAAGUGUAAAAUGUUGUUACACUCAACUCAUCAUCCUUCUGCAUAAGACACAGAUUGCGCCAUAAUUGAUGGAUCCUUGGUGCGUUGGUUUGAGCAAAACGCUCUUCGAGAUCGAGCCAGAUGUCCCUCGUUGUUGAUGCGUGUGAAAUGCUGCUAUGCAGUACCGGAUCAGUGGCAUUGAUGAUCCAUGCUGUUACCAUUGAAUCUGCUCUCUCCCAAUUGACAUAAUUGGUUGUUUUCAUCCCUGGUUUCGUGAUUGUUCCAUCGAUGAAACCGAGCUUCAAUUUUGCUCGGAGCGCCGUUUUCAUCGAUCGUGACCACGUUCUGUAGUUUUCUCCAUUUAGAACAGCCGCCACUAAUGGAGUUCCUGGAUUAUCUGAGGAACCAAGAUAGUAUGGUGAGCUUGAGUCAAUGGCAUGUGAUUUUUUACCUUUAUCGGAGGCAUGAUUUUUCUUCCCCGAAU
Molecule: long non-coding RNA, 1567 nt
Filed under: Medicago truncatula (barrel medic)
Lineage: Eukaryota; Viridiplantae; Streptophyta; Magnoliopsida; Fabales; Fabaceae
Description: long non-coding RNA (MTRU_LNC003523)
Source: RNAcentral